GCUGGGCAAGGUGGCGCGUGCCUGUAAUCCCAGCUACUCAGGAGGCUGAGGCAGGAGAAUCACUUGAACCCAGGAGGUAGAGGUUGCAGUGAGCCAGGAUCGCCCCAUUGCACUCCAGCCUGGGUGACAGAGUGAGACUCUGUCUCCA
This is an unclassified non-coding RNA of Callithrix jacchus (white-tufted-ear marmoset), 148 nucleotides long. It matches the Rfam family "Metazoan signal recognition particle RNA". From Rfam's summary of the family: The signal recognition particle (SRP) is a universally conserved ribonucleoprotein. It is involved in the co-translational targeting of proteins to membranes. The record is from Ensembl. Lineage: Eukaryota; Metazoa; Chordata; Mammalia; Primates; Cebidae.